GACCGCGCCACCUGGGUCAUUGGUUCUGAAGGGGUAGUCCCAUCCCUGACCCGCAGUCCGCACAAUGGAUAUCAAUGCCGGCAACCUUCUCCCAACAAACUGACGGAUGCUCUUGUAUUCAGCAACCCAGCUCUUGCUGUCCCAUCUCAACCGUUGGGAACGCACAAUCGUCGCAUUUGACUGCUGAUUGAAUAGCAGCGCAACCAUUCUAAGCUCCUGCCGCUGUUUGUAGCAAGAACGCGGUUGUUUCUCUACGUUCGCUUCGGCAAUCUUUUUACUCUACUAACGCAUUGGUGGAGGUAUUUCAUUCACCUGUAGUGACGGUUUGGAGCGCGACACCUUCGCUUGCG
Long non-coding RNA from Drosophila virilis, 350 nucleotides. RefSeq lists it as uncharacterized. The record is from RefSeq and is a predicted model, not a curated record. Lineage: Eukaryota; Metazoa; Arthropoda; Insecta; Diptera; Drosophilidae.